RNAcentral lists this ribosomal RNA (335 nucleotides) under uncultured bacterium. RNAcentral describes it as "bacterial SSU rRNA". It matches the Rfam family "Archaeal small subunit ribosomal RNA", at positions 532 to 867 of the family's 1478-position model. The record is from RNAcentral.
GUUAAAUGCCUGGGUAAAUCGUGUCGCUUAACGAUACGAAUUCCAGGUAGACUGGCAGCCUUGGGACCGGGAGAGGUCAGAGGUACGUCAGGGGUAGGGGUAAAAUCCUGUAAUCCUUGGCGGACCACCAGUGGCGAAGGCGUCUGACUAGAACGGAUCCGACGGUAAGGGACGAAGCCCUGGGGCGCAAACGGGAUUAGAUACCCCGGUAGUCCAGGGUGUAAACGCUGCGCGCUUGGUGUUGGCGAUCCUACGAGGGUUGCCAGUGCCGGAGAGAAGUUGUUAAGCGCGCUGCCUGGGGAGUACGGUCGCAAGACUGAAACUUAAAGGAAUUG